Long non-coding RNA from Mobula hypostoma (lesser devil ray), 313 nucleotides. RefSeq lists it as uncharacterized. The record is from RefSeq and is a predicted model, not a curated record. Lineage: Eukaryota; Metazoa; Chordata; Chondrichthyes; Myliobatiformes; Myliobatidae. The transcript has 3 exons.
CCAAAGCGUUGACUGUUUCAUUUUCCUCCAAGACACUGCUUGACCUGCUGAGUUCCUCCAGCCUUUUAGGCAGGCUGUUUUUGACAAUUUCACAAUGAAAAAAAACUUGCAAUCAAGGAAGCUGAACUUAAAACAGCCAACAUAGCAGAAGACACAUUUGUUACAAACGUCAAGGAAAAGUUAUGUAGAAUGGCAGGACAUAUUAUUCAGGCUUGAAGAUGCCAGAAACGGCUGUGAGUGAAAAUGAAAAGAUCUCUGUACUUCACAAGCUAUGAAGGUAACAAUAAUCACUUUGAAUGUUACAAUGAAAAUG